AUUUAGUACCUCCCCGGAGUGUUGUCGAGGGCAAUUGGAGAAAAUCAUAGUCUUAUCCAACCUUGCCCUUCCCCCAACACAUACACCCUUUUAGUGGGGGAAUCAAAUGAAAGUGAACAUCUUGGACAGCUUUAAAAAGAGAACAAAAUUCACUAAAGGAGCCUAGUUUCCCCAACAAACUUUGGACCCUGGGGUAAUCUGAAGGCUCUCCUGGCGAUGACAAACCCCCAUUGACUGGCUCUCUCCCGGGCACUCUCCCACACUGCUACCAGGCUGGAGAGCCGGGGCUGAAGGGGGUGGCGGCUGGGGUUCGGAGAGAAGGACAAGGAAGGAUUAGGAAGUGGUUGGUUUCUCUGAAAGAUUGAGCUCCUCUAAUGAGCUCCCUCCUCCCACCCCGCCUGUUGUGGCUCCCCAGCUCAGUCUUGCUCGCUGUGGGUUGAGGGAAAGGGCCCCAUUUCCAUCCCCUUCAAGGGCUCUCCCAGGACGGAGCUCAGUGAGGCCACUUGGGCACCCCAGGCCGCCCUGGCCUACCAGCUGGCAUCCAGUCCCCUUGGCCCUGAGCCUUGGACGCCUGCAUCCCUUUAUCCCUGAAGGGCAAGAGGAAAGAAGGGUUUGCCAUAUCACGGGGGACCUGAGGCCCCGAGAAGCCUCGUGUCCCCAGUGUCUCGCGGGCCUGGAGCCGGCCCUGGAUUCUCUCCCGAACAGAACCGGCUCUCCUCUCCCGCCUUCCCAUUCUCCGGGGGUUCCCCAUCGCCGCAGGGCUGCCUCUCGCGAAGCCUGAGCUGCUCAGAGAACCUCCGUGUGUGUGUUCUGUCCUGUGGCCCGUGUCCGUGCGCCCCUGUUUCCCGUGGAGACGCGCAGGGCGCCCACCUCUCUGGGCGGGCAGUCAGAGCGCUCUCCCUUCCCAAGGAAGCCCUUCUAUUCGGAGUCUGAGGCGGAGACGGUCUCCGCUGGCGCUGCUGGACCUGCCUCCCAGCAACCAGAACCCGGGCCUCUGGAGCGUCCGUUCUUGCCCGAGUGUGCUGAGGGCCUAGAAAGGCAGCAGGGGAGCAGGGCCCAAAAGCGUGGCACGCAGGGAGUUCAGUUGCAAAGGAAAUGCAUGCUGUCAGUGACCAUGUGGCA
This 1122-nucleotide long non-coding RNA is filed under the name Monodelphis domestica (gray short-tailed opossum). RNAcentral describes it as "lncRNA (ENSMODG00000041492.1)". The record is from RNAcentral. Lineage: Eukaryota; Metazoa; Chordata; Mammalia; Didelphimorphia; Didelphidae.